RNAcentral lists this ribosomal RNA (452 nucleotides) under uncultured bacterium. RNAcentral's name for it is "bacterial SSU rRNA". It matches the Rfam family "Bacterial small subunit ribosomal RNA", at positions 11 to 507 of the family's 1533-position model. The record is from RNAcentral.
GUUUGAUCAUGGCUCAGAGCGAACGCUGGCGGCAGGCUUAACACAUGCAAGUCGAACGGGCGUAGCAAUACGUCAGUGGCAGACGGGUGAGUAACACGUGGGAACGUACCUUUUGGUUCGGAACAACUGAGGGAAACUUCAGCUAAUACCGGAUAAGCCCUUACGGGGAAAGAUUUAUCGCCGAAAGAUCGGCCCGCGUCUGAUUAGCUAGUUGGUGGGGUAAGAGCCCACCAAGGCGACGAUCAGUAGCUGGUCUGAGAGGAUGAUCAGCCACAUUGGGACUGAGACACGGCCCAAACUCCUACGGGAGGCAGCAGUGGGGAAUAUUGGACAAUGGGCGAAAGCCUGAUCCAGCCAUGCCGCGUGAGUGAUGAAGGCCCUAGGGUUGUAAAGCUCUUUUAACGGGGAAGAUAAUGACGGUACCCGUAGAAUAAGCCCCGGCUAACUUCGUG